UGGUCAAGUUAUUAAGGGUGCAGGGCGGAUGCCUUGGCACUAGGAGCCGAUGAAGGACGUGAUAAGCUGCGAUAAGCUUCGGGGAGUUGCACGUAAACUUUGAUCCGAAGAUUUCCGAAUGAGGAAACUCACUUAGAGUAAUGUCUAAGUAUCAUUAAGUGAAUACAUAGCUUAAUGAGGGGAACUCAGGGAACUGAAACAUCUAAGUACCUGAAGGAAGAGAAAGAAAUUCGAUUCCGUAAGUAGCGGCGAGCGAACGCGGAUUAGCACAAACCAAUAAAGUUUUCUUUGUUGGGGUUGCGGACAUAUCAUAACGAAGAGGUAUCGUAAUUGAAGAGGUUUGGAAAGACCCACCACAGAAGGUAAUAGUCCUGUAUGUUAAACGAGAAGACUUUAGAUAUGAUACAGAGUACCACGGGACACGUGAAACCCUGUGGGAAGCAGGAGGGACCACCCUCCAAGGCUAAAUACUACCUAGUGACCGAUAGCGUAUAGUACCGUGAGGGAAAGGUGAAAAGAACCCCG
Molecule: ribosomal RNA, 525 nt
Filed under: Clostridioides difficile
Lineage: Bacteria; Bacillati; Bacillota; Clostridia; Peptostreptococcales; Peptostreptococcaceae
Description: bacterial LSU rRNA
Rfam family: Bacterial large subunit ribosomal RNA
Source: RNAcentral